CCAACCGGGAUUGCCUUAGUAACGGCGAGUGAAGCGGCAAAGCUCAAAUUUGAAAUCUGGUACCUUCGGUGCCCGAGUUGUAAUUUGGAGAGGGCAACUUUGGGGCCGUUCCUUGUCUAUGUUCCUUGGAACAGGACGUCAUAGAGGGUGAGAAUCCCGUGUGGCGAGGAGUGCGGUUCUUUGUAAAGUGCCUUCGAAGAGUCGAGUUGUUUGGGAAUGCAGCUCUAAGUGGGUGGUAAAUUCCAUCUAAAGCUAAAUAUUGGCGAGAGACCGAUAGCGAACAAGUACAGUGAUGGAAAGAUGAAAAGAACUUUGAAAAGAGAGUGAAAAAGUACGUGAAAUUGUUGAAAGGGAAGGGCAUUUGAUCAGACAUGGUGUUUUGUGCCCUCUGCUCCUUGUGGGUAGGGGAAUCUCGCAUUUCACUGGGCCAGCAUCAGUUUUGGUGGCAGGAUAAAUCCAUAGGAAUGUAGCUUGCCUCGGUAAGUAUUAUAGCCUGUGGGAAUACUGCCAGCUGGGACUGAGGACUGCGACGUAAGUCAAGGAUGCUGGCAUAAUGGUUAUAUGCCGCCCGUCUUGAAACACGGACCUCCUGUGUGAGGGAUCCCCCCAUA
Molecule: ribosomal RNA, 611 nt
Filed under: Saccharomyces cerevisiae (brewer's yeast)
Lineage: Eukaryota; Fungi; Ascomycota; Saccharomycetes; Saccharomycetales; Saccharomycetaceae
Description: eukaryotic LSU rRNA
Rfam family: Eukaryotic large subunit ribosomal RNA
Source: RNAcentral